AUGGGUAGAUCUAACGUUAACCCCAUAUGGUCAAAGAUUUGGAAACUUCCGUGUCCAGCAAAGGUAAAGAUCUUUAUUUGGCGCACUUUGCAUGUAACUCUCCCGUGUUGGGUUACGCUUGCAAAUAGACACUUGAAAAUCUUGCCAGUCUGCCCAUCAUGUUCGAAGGGGGCAGAAGAUACAAAGCACGUCCUCUUUCUGUGUCAGAAAGCGAAGGAGGUGUGGGAGAGGCUGGGGAUGGCUGACAUGAUUAAUGAAGCUUGUGCUAUUGAUCGUGCGAGUGAGGCGGUACUUGAAUUCUUACUCCUUAGGCCAGAACAAGAUUUAUCUAUUAUGGGAGUUCGGAAUGUACAUGAGAUGAUUGCCAUAGCCGCAUGGUAUUUAUGGUGGGACAGACGUAUGCUGGUUCAUAAGGGAAAGUUUCAAGAUGCGUACCACACAUCCAUGGCGGUCCGUGCUAUCACGGCUAAUUUUGCUAAAGCUUACUCUCCUAAUGCGACUAGUAAACGAGGGGGAUGGAGUAAACCUCCUAUGGAUUUUGUCAAGCUCAAUGUUGAUGCAUCUUUCGAUCAUGACCAGCAUAGAGGUAUUGCGGGGGCUGUCCUUAGAGAUGAUAAAGGACAAUUCAUAGUCGGUGGAAACUGGAAGAUCGAUUGGUGUGCGGAUGUUCUGACGGCAGAAGCUAUGGCUCUAAGGUUUGGCUUAUAUCUGGCACAAAAGGCAGGAUGCAACCGUCUGAUAAUUAACUCUGAUAAUUUGAAAGUCAUUGACAUGGUGAAGAACGGAGGACAAUUUGCGGGAAUGGCGGCGGCAGUUUUCGAUGACUGCUAUUUUUUGGCUUGCAAUUUUCCCCUUACUAGUUUCGAGCACUGUAAUAGGGAAGCGAAUAGGGUUGCCCACGAAUUAGCUAGGUUAGCUAGAGUUUCCUUCACGAAUUAG
Molecule: ribosomal RNA, 939 nt
Filed under: Triticum aestivum (bread wheat)
Lineage: Eukaryota; Viridiplantae; Streptophyta; Magnoliopsida; Poales; Poaceae
Description: partial small subunit ribosomal RNA
Source: RNAcentral